GAUGAACGCUGGCGGCGUGCCUAAUACAUGCAAGUCGAGCGAACAGUCGAGGAGCUUGCUCCUCUGAAGUUAGCGGCGGACGGGUGAGUAACACGUGGAUAACCUACCUAUAAGACUGGGAUAACUUCGGGAAACCGGAGCUAAUACCGGAUAAUAUAUUGAACCGCAUGGUUCAAUAGUGAAAGACGGUUUUGCUGUCACUUAUAGAUGGAUCCGCGCCGCAUUAGCUAGUUGGUAAGGUAACGGCUUACCAAGGCGACGAUGCGUAGCCGACCUGAGAGGGUGAUCGGCCACACUGGAACUGAGACACGGUCCAGACUCCUACGGGAGGCAGCAGUAGGGAAUCUUCCGCAAUGGGCGAAAGCCUGACGGAGCAACGCCGCGUGAGUGAUGAAGGUCUUCGGAUCGUAAAACUCUGUUAUUAGGGAAGAACAAAUGUGUAAGUAACUAUGCACGUCUUGACGGUACCUAAUCAGAAAGCCACGGCUAACUACGUG
RNAcentral lists this ribosomal RNA (497 nucleotides) under uncultured bacterium. Its description in RNAcentral is "partial 16S ribosomal RNA". It matches the Rfam family "Bacterial small subunit ribosomal RNA", at positions 28 to 507 of the family's 1533-position model. The record is from RNAcentral.